This 253-nucleotide ribosomal RNA is filed under the name uncultured bacterium. RNAcentral describes it as "partial 16S ribosomal RNA". It matches the Rfam family "Bacterial small subunit ribosomal RNA", at positions 524 to 776 of the family's 1533-position model. The record is from RNAcentral.
GACAGAGGUCCCGAGCGUUAGGCGGAAUCACUGGGCUUAAAGCGUGUGUAGGCGGACGUCUAAGUACCUUGUGAAAUCCCGCGGCUCAACCGCGGAACUGCUUGGUAUACUGGACGUCUUGAGCCAGCUAGGGGCUACCGGAACAAAUGGUGGAGCGGUGAAAUGCGUAGAUAUCAUUUGGAACGCCAAUGGUGAAAACAGGUAGCUGGGGCUGUGCUGACGCUGAGACACGAAAGCCAGGGGAGCAAACGGG